UGUUACUUAUCAUUAAUCAUUUUUGGAGUAUUAAUAUUUAUGAAAUUUAACGGAUUUGGCGGCAAGAUAAACCGUUUAGAGGAACCUGCCCUAUAAACGAUAAGCCACGAGAGACUUUACUUUUUUUGGUAAUUCAGUUUGUAUACCGCUGUUGUUAGUCAGUUUUAUUAGAAAACUUUCGAUAAUGAAUUAGAUCAUUGACUUCAAGUAAAGGUGCAGCUAAUAAAAAAGUUAGAGGUGGGUUACAAUUUUUUGAUAAAAACGGAUGAUAUAAUGAAAAUAUAUCUGAAGGUGGAUUUAAUUGUAAGAUCUAAGCAGAUUUGAUAGGAGUACUAACUUGU
This 341-nucleotide ribosomal RNA is filed under the name Caudoeuraphia caudata. RNAcentral's name for it is "partial 12S ribosomal RNA". Lineage: Eukaryota; Metazoa; Arthropoda; Thecostraca; Balanomorpha; Chthamalidae. The record is from RNAcentral.